UACAGAGGGUGCGAGCGUUGUUCGGAAUUAUUGGGCGUAAAGGGCGCGUAGGCGGUGCGGUAAGUCACCUGUGAAAUCUCCUGGCUCAACUGGGAGCUUGCAGGCGAAACUGCCGUGCUGGAGUGUGGGAGAGGUGCGUGGAAUUCCUGGUGUAGCGGUGAAAUGCGUAGAUAUCGGGAGGAACACCAGUGGCGAAGGCGGCGACCUGGGCCAAUACUGACGCUGAGGUGCGAAAGCGUGGGGAGCAAACAGG
Molecule: ribosomal RNA, 253 nt
Filed under: uncultured bacterium
Lineage: Bacteria
Description: partial 16S ribosomal RNA
Rfam family: Bacterial small subunit ribosomal RNA
Source: RNAcentral